UUCCAUAAUUUUGCAUAUAAUUUACUUCAUUGUUUUCCGGUCUCCCUAUUAAAUUUUAUGUUUCAAUAUUACCAAUCUAGUGUGAGUUGUCACGAAGAAAUGAAAAUGGUUAUUGUUUAUUUCAAAAUUUUGCUUUUGAUAACAGUUUUACCAUCUUUAUCAGCAAGAAGAUAUAGAGUAAGAACAUCAGUGGGGACGUAUUACUCCGGAUCUAGUUCAAGCUAUAUUAGCAAUACCAAUGUUUGGAUUUACAUAGUUAUAGCAGUUCUGAUCCUCGCUUUGAUAUACUCGUUGGGAAAGUUUUGCUGUAAUAAAAGACGAGACAAACCAGAGAAACCGCAGAAACUUGAUGUUUCCCCUGUUUAUAUCACCGAAUACGGGAAAUCAGUGAAUGCAGACCUGUCAAAGAAGAAAUGUUACCUGUAAAUCACAAAGUACAGGAAAAAUAUUUCCAUCAUUAUGUUACAUUUUGUCGAAGAGUGUCGAAUCAACACUUUCUUUUUAAAGAAGCUGAAAUGUCAUCAUUUAGACACAAUUGUAAAAAAUAGAAAAAUUUGAACUUUAGUUGAAUGUAUAACACGCUUUAAAAAUAAAUUUGUCUCUUGCUCCAAGAGACAGAAAUAGUA
Long non-coding RNA from Mytilus californianus (California mussel), 626 nucleotides. RefSeq lists it as uncharacterized. The transcript is spliced from 4 exons. NCBI's taxonomy places the organism in Eukaryota, Metazoa, Mollusca, Bivalvia, Mytilida, Mytilidae. The record is from RefSeq and is a predicted model, not a curated record.